This 569-nucleotide small RNA is filed under the name Pan troglodytes (chimpanzee). RNAcentral's name for it is "processed transcript". The record is from RNAcentral. Lineage: Eukaryota; Metazoa; Chordata; Mammalia; Primates; Hominidae.
AGUAGCGGGCGGCAGAGCUGGAGUGAAGGGAGCUAGUGGUAGCAGCCACCAUUAUGCUCAAAGCGGUGAUCCUGAUUGGAGGCCCUCAAAAGGGAACUCGCUUCAGACCUUUGUCUUUUGAGGUGCCCAAACCAUUGUUUCCUGUGGCAGGGGUCCCUAUGAUCCAACACCAUAUUGAAGCCUGUGCCCAGGUCCCUGGAAUGCAGGAGAUUCUGCUCAUUGGCUUCUACCAACCUGAUGAGCCCCUCACCCAGUUCCUAGAAGCCGCCCAGCAGGAGUUUAACCUUCCAGUCAGGUGUUUGUGCACACACUCGUAUAUGGGGGGGUGGGGAUGCCCUAGGCCUCUGAGUUCUUGGAAGUGGGUUGAGUCAGCAUUUGCUGGAGUUCAUCCUCACCUACUAGAAGGAUUCUUGUUUGGACAUCAAUGAAUCUCUGAGUAUAUAGAGUUUCUCUGUAGGCCUUGGGCAGGAGUAGUCCUGGGAGCAAGCGCUGGCAUCUCUACCAUCUCUCUCUCCCUUUCUUUCUGUGACUGUCUCUGCCCUCACCAGCUGCCUUGCUCUAGGGUGAGU